CGCGGGCUUCUUGCGAUUCAAUCCGCUCCGCGUACGGCGCCAGUUCGGGCGGGCAGACGGCGGCCGACGUCGCGGGGCCGAAGACAAAGUC
Molecule: long non-coding RNA, 91 nt
Organism: Hippocampus comes (tiger tail seahorse)
Lineage: Eukaryota; Metazoa; Chordata; Actinopteri; Syngnathiformes; Syngnathidae
Exons: 3
Source: RefSeq, a predicted model, not a curated record